UACGUAGGGUGCAAGCGUUAUCCGGAAUUAUUGGGCGUAAAGAGCUCGUAGGCGGCCUGUUGCGUCCGCUGUGAAAUCCCAGGGCUCAACCCUGGGCGUGCAGUGGAUACGGGCAGGCUAGAGUUCGGUAGGGGAGACUGGAAUUCCUGGUGUAGCGGUGAAAUGCGCAGAUAUCAGGAGGAACACCGGUGGCGAAGGCGGGUCUCUGGGCCGAUACUGACGGCUGAGGAGCGAAAAGCGUGGGGAGCGAACAGG
RNAcentral lists this ribosomal RNA (255 nucleotides) under uncultured bacterium. RNAcentral's name for it is "partial 16S ribosomal RNA". It matches the Rfam family "Bacterial small subunit ribosomal RNA", at positions 524 to 776 of the family's 1533-position model. The record is from RNAcentral.